UACGCAGGGGGCUAGCGUUGUUCGGAAUCACUGGGCGUAAAGGGCGCGUAGGCGGCUUUGUAAGUCGGGGGUGAAAGCCUGUGGCUCAACCACAGAAUUGCCUUCGAUACUGCAUGGCUUGAGACCGGAAGAGGUAAGUGGAACUGCGAGUGUAGAGGUGAAAUUCGUAGAUAUUCGCAAGAACACCAGUGGCGAAGGCGGCUUACUGGUCCGGUUCUGACGCUGAGGCGCGAAAGCGUGGGGAGCAAACAGG
RNAcentral lists this ribosomal RNA (253 nucleotides) under uncultured bacterium. Its description in RNAcentral is "partial 16S ribosomal RNA". It matches the Rfam family "Bacterial small subunit ribosomal RNA", at positions 524 to 776 of the family's 1533-position model. The record is from RNAcentral.